GGUAAGGUAGCUCAGUUGGUUAGAGCGCUGGUCUCAUAAGCCGGAGGUCGAGAGUUCGAGUCUCUCUCUUACUACCA
RNAcentral lists this transfer RNA (77 nucleotides) under Campylobacterales bacterium. RNAcentral's name for it is "tRNA-Met". It matches the Rfam family "tRNA". From Rfam's summary of the family: Transfer RNA (tRNA) molecules are approximately 80 nucleotides in length. Lineage: Bacteria; Pseudomonadati; Campylobacterota; Epsilonproteobacteria; Campylobacterales. The record is from RNAcentral.